RNAcentral lists this ribosomal RNA (492 nucleotides) under uncultured bacterium. Its description in RNAcentral is "partial 16S ribosomal RNA". It matches the Rfam family "Bacterial small subunit ribosomal RNA", at positions 30 to 507 of the family's 1533-position model. The record is from RNAcentral.
AUUGAACGCUGGCGGUAGGCCUAACACAUGCAAGUCGAACGGCAGCACAGUAAGAGCUUGCUCUUACGGGUGGCGAGUGGCGGACGGGUGAGGAAUACAUCGGAAUCUACUUUUUCGUGGGGGAUAACGUAGGGAAACUUACGCUAAUACCGCAUACGACCUACGGGUGAAAGCAGGGGAUCUUCGGCCCUUGCGCGAUUGAAUGAGCCGAUGGCGGAUUAGCUAGUUGGCGGGGUAAAUGCCCACCAAGGCGACUAUCCGUAUCUGGUCUGAGAGGAUGAACAGCCACACUGGAACUGAGACACGGUCCAGACUCCUACGGGAGGCAGCAGUGGGGAAUAUUGGACAAUGGGCGCAAGCCUGAUCCAGCCAUACCGCGUGGGUGAAGAAGGCCUUCGGGUUGUAAAGCCCUUUUGUUGGGAAAGAAAAGCAGCAGGUUAAUACCCCGCUGUUCUGACGGUACCCAAAGAAUAAGCACCGGCUAACUUCGUG